RNAcentral lists this ribosomal RNA (253 nucleotides) under uncultured bacterium. RNAcentral describes it as "partial 16S ribosomal RNA". It matches the Rfam family "Bacterial small subunit ribosomal RNA", at positions 524 to 776 of the family's 1533-position model. The record is from RNAcentral.
UACGAAGGGGGCUAGCGUUGCUCGGAAUUACUGGGCGUAAAGCGCACGUAGGCGAAAUGUUAAGUCAGGGGUGAAAUCCCGGGGCUCAACCCCGGAACUGCCUUUGAUACUGGCAUUCUCGAGUCCGGAAGAGGUGAGUGGAAUUCCGAGUGUAGAGGUUAAAUUCGUAGAUAUUCGGAGGAACACCAGUGGCGAAGGCGGCUCACUGGUCCGGUACUGACGCUGAGGUGCGAAAGCGUGGGGAGCAAACAGG